GCAGAGUGACAGGUGGUGCAUGGUUGUCGUCAGCUCGUGUCGUGAGAUGUUGGGUUAAGUCCCGCAACGAGCGCAACCCUUGAUCUUAGUUGCCAGCAUUCAGUUGGGCACUUUAAGGUGACUGCCGGUGACAAACCGGAGGAAGGUGGGGAUGACGUCAAAUCAUCAUGCCCCUUAUGACCUGGGCUACACACGUGCUACAAUGGGCAGAACAAAGGGCAGCGAAGCCGCGAGGUUAAGCCAAUCCCACAAAUCUGUUCUCAGUUCGGAUCGCAGUCUGCAACUCGACUGCGUGAAGCUGGAAUCGUUAGUAAUCGCGGAUCAGCAUGCCGCGGUGAAUACGUUCCCGGCC
This 352-nucleotide ribosomal RNA is filed under the name Bacillus sp. (in: firmicutes). Its description in RNAcentral is "bacterial SSU rRNA". It matches the Rfam family "Bacterial small subunit ribosomal RNA", at positions 1026 to 1377 of the family's 1533-position model. The record is from RNAcentral. Lineage: Bacteria; Bacillati; Bacillota; Bacilli; Caryophanales; Bacillaceae.